CACACACAUACACACUCUCGCCAGCCUCUUCGCCUGUCCCGGCCGUGUUAUUCCUCCCGCCAUUGACGCCACGCGUCUUCAUCGUCUUCGUCGCUAUCAUCUCUCUACCUGACGAGGACUAGUGCAGUAAGCUCUGCAAAGGAAAAAAAAACGAGGGGCUUUUUUCGCUUGUUUUGCUGGCAACUCUGCAGGAGGUAUCCCCUUCCUCCUCCUCCCCCCACUCACCCACUCGCUUUCUGUGCUGAAGCGGUCGUGUUUGGUUGUUGGGGGGGCUGAGCGAUCUUUCUCUCGUUUUGUGCAUUGCCUCGCGCGCAUAGACACCACCCAUCGACGAAGGUGCGCCUUGCUCGUUUCCUUGGCUUCCUCACACACACACACACACACAAGUAGGCGCUAUUUUCGCUGACUUUGCGGAGGUAACGCGGUAAACAUAUCAGCCGGAACGAUACAUCUAGGAGAAGCGAAAGAAGAAUCUGGCUGACUCUCCAUCUAAUCGGCGUUUACACCAGCUCUAAGCGCCAUUGUCCCCCUUUUCGUGUUAAAGUAUUAUUUCGCGUUCCGUGCAUGCGUUCGCUACGUUCCUGGGCACUUGUUACGUUCCUUUGCUUGUUGCUGGCGUCUUUUGGCGCUCAGCAGCCAUGUUCAAGGAAAUUUCCUUCGAUGACGUAGAUGUCUCCUGCGCAUCGCAUGAGGAUGAUCGCUUGGUGGCCGAGAACGUAGCCGAUGCGGUAGAAGGCGGCAAGGCGUUUGUGAGGUUCCAUCGCCCAGGUGAGGAGGGCUUCAGCAUUGUGGCCGGCGCGUGCGACGACAAGGACGCACGCCAUGACGCUCACUUCAUGAGCGGCGACGCGUGGAUGUCAAAGGAUUGCCACUGCAUUCAGUGUGAGACGCUUCGUGUGCUCUCGCGGUACUCGGAGAUGCGUGCACAGCCGAAUAUAUCCCCCGUCAUCGUCCUCGUCGACCUUGAUAACUUUGGUUUCAAUCAGUUCAAGUCCAUCCCGCCGUACCCGGACGUUGAACUGCUCGAUCACGUGCUUGUGUGGAGCUUUUUCGGCUCGUGCUUCACACGCCAUCAUCGCGCGUGGCCGAGCGAGCAGACUGUCUGCGAGCCGCUGCCGAAUCGCGCCGUGUCCGUGAAUGCUGCCGGCACCACCAAGCGCUCCAUCUGGGAAAUCUUGGUGAGCAAGCAGCAGGUGUUCUUCACGCCGUGCGGCGGCCAAACGCAAGCAGCUGAUAAUGUCAUGCAUCGCGUGCUGCAGGCGCUUCAAGGUAUGGAGACAGUGCUCCUGACAGGGGACGUGAAGCUCAUUAACGAAAUCUACCGCAGCCGCCGGCUGCUCGGCAUGAAGUCGCGCCGGCACAACGAGGAUGAGAUGUCAGAUAAGCUGACGGUGAUAAACGUGGACGACAUGGACAAGCGUUUUGUGCCGGUGUGGCGGUCACUGUGCAAUCGUCUUCGCGGUACUUUGCAUGACGUCGGGGCGACCGGCAGCUGCAACGAUAGCGAUGUGUGACGGCUGUCGAGCGAAAAGGCCUGCUGCUUGACGGGCGCUCCGUUCUUCUUUCGUUUGUGUUUGUAUUCUUUUUUUUCUUGCAUGUGUUCGUAUGUGUGUGUGUGUGUGGUCAUUUUUCAGCAUGUGGCCUCGUGUGUCUUCGCACGCGAGGCCGCUUGCUGCCACUUUUAUCACACACACACACACAGGCACACAUACACACACACACACACACACACAGAGGCAUAAAUACGUCUGGCUCCUUUCCGCGCACUCGUAUAGUGGCUUGAUGCACGAAAUGACCCCAGUUUUUGCUCUCUGUCGCUCGUCUUCCUCACCUCCAUGCGGUUUUCUCGUUGACGUACGUGUGGCUCGGCACGUCCUACCUCCGAUCUCUUGCUGUCUCUCUGUGUCUCUUCUCCUCCGUUCCUUUGUUUUGGCUUUAUCUCUCGACUUCACCCUUUUCCCCGAGCUCCCUCUCCCUCUUUCCUGCUUUCACGUCGUCUCUCUCUCCCCGUUGCUCUCCCUUUUCUCUUUCUGUCCUCGCGACUCGUGUUUCUGGCUGUUUUCGAUUGUUCUCCUCUUUCUUUCUCGCGUUGGCCCGUUGGUGAGUUCGGCUUUUUCGGCCCGAGUCUUCGCACAUGAUAAGUGGUGUGCGGGUGUCUGUGUGGGGGUGGGGUGACCUCGCCCACGCCACCCCCUCCACCAAAAAACCAACUCGGAUCUCCCUUGUGUGCUCCGUUUCUCUUGCGUUGAUCUCAUCUGCUCACGUCGCCACCCCCUGCGCCUCACGUUUCUCCGUCCCUUUCUCCAUAAUGUGCAGACACAUCGUCAUCACAUCCCCACCCCUCUCACGCCCUUCUGACCCUCUUCUGUCACUCUCAGCUCUCUGACCAGCGCCCCGUCCCGAUGGCCAAGAUGUACAGUGGCGGCGCCGUUUCGUGGACCGCGAGUGCGGACGACGAGCCCUCGCGCUCUCUCGCUUCUUACCUGCCCCUCCCCCCUCCUUUCGUUCGCCCGCCAGCGAGUGCACCGCUCCAUUCGGGGGAAGCACAGAUGUGAAAGCGUCCUUCCUUUGCUUGCUCUGUUUCGCUGUCGUGGUGGCUUUUGAUCGGGCCACCGCGGUGCGGCGCUAUCGAGGGAUGAGGACGAGUGAUAUUUCUUGUUUUGUGUGUGUGUGCUCGGUUCCCGUGUUCAGUGAAAGCGAUCGCUUCAACUGUCAGCUGUAUCUGUAGUUUCAUGUUUGCUCGAGAAGGAUUCGCAACGGCCUUAUGGUUUUCUCGCGUUGCUUUCACUGUCCGUGCCUUGAGAGUAAGCCCCCCCCCACCCCACGCUAUCCACCCCCCUGCAUGUUUCCACCAGGUGUGUUGAGGAAGCUGUAAGGGCAGGCGGCUCUGCACUCUCUUCUGUACACAGACACAACAUAGACGCGUGUGCAUGCUAUUGAAUAAAGGACGCACUCUGUGCCUGCGCGUACGGCCCUCCGUGUUACACACCCUCUUUCUUCUUUCUUCCAUCUCGGCCCCCCGGUCGGCCUCUGCGUCUUUCUCACGUUGAUAAACGGAGAAGUAUUCACACUUGAUGCAGAAGAUGUGAAAGAUACGCGGGAGGCCGAGGAUAGGGCGACGCAUGAAAGGAGCGACACACGCUUGCGCCAGCGAGACGAAGUGGGCACGUAAAAACGGGAUGGGGGGAAAAAGAAAGACGGCAGCGCUUUUUGUAUUUUUUUUUCUGUUUUGCUUUCGUGUGCGUGUGUGUGUCUUGUUUUGAAUCCGAAUGAAUUCAAUGCUGCAAGCGUAAAGUGAAAAGUGGAAAAUGGGAACGGGGGUCGGCUCUGCCUCAGCGCCUUCCGUGCCUCUGAUUCCUCGCCUCCACAGGCGAGCACCCACCCACCCAGCCUUGCCUCUCUUUAUCUCCCCCCACAAGCACAGCGAGGCAGAGCGACAUGUACGCACACGUGUAAUUGGGGAAGGCGGUGCUUCAUGCUGGCAAAGACAAAAAAAACGAAGGACAGGAGCUCUUACGUGAAGAUGUCGAGAAAGGUCUACCUAAUACGUAUUUCGUGGAUUUAGAGUAUAAUAAAUACCCAAAAGAAAAACGGAAUGCGUGAAGCAUUCCAUCGAGGCUACCCGGCUCUACCGCGGUUGAUUGAGCAAGCUGGACCAUCGCCUUCUGCUAUAUUUGUCUUUAUCCCCUUUUGCCUUUCCUCUGCGCUCGCUGCUGAUGAAUCGGUAAAG
RNAcentral lists this unclassified non-coding RNA (3730 nucleotides) under Leishmania donovani. RNAcentral's name for it is "gene:LdHU3.32.2150(CDS-product:hypothetical_prote in_conserved)". The record is from RNAcentral. Lineage: Eukaryota; Euglenozoa; Kinetoplastea; Trypanosomatida; Trypanosomatidae.